ACACGACCGUACCGCAAACCGACACUGGUGCGCGAGAUGAGUAUUCUAAGGCGCUUGAGAGAACUCAGGAGAAGGAACUCGGCAAAUUGACACCGUAACUUCGGAAGAAGGUGUGCCCUAUUAGUGUGAAGUGAACAACGGAGCAUGAAUGGGUUGCAAAAAAUCGGUGGCUGCGACUGUUUAUUAAAAGCACAGCACUCUGCAAACACGAAAGUGGACGUAUAGGGUGUGACGCCUGCCCGGUGCUGGAAGAUUAAAUGAUGGGGUGCAAGCUCUUGAUUGAAGUCCCAGUAAACGGCGGCCGUAACUAUAACGGUCCUAAGGUAGCGAAAUUCCUUGUCGGGUAAGUUCCGACCUGCACGAAUGGCGUAACGAUGGCCACACUGUCUCCUCCUGAGACUCAGCGAAGUUGAAAUGUCUGUGAUGAUGCAAUCUCCCCGCGGAAAGACGGAAAGACCCUAUGAACCUUUACUGUAGCUUUGUAUUGGACUUUGAACAGAUCUGUGUAGGAUAGGUGGGAGGCUUUGAAGCAGGGUCGCUAGAUCUUGUGGAGCCAACGUUGAAAUACCACCCUGGUGUGUUUGAGGUUCUAACCUAGGUCCAUUAUCUGGAUCGGGGACAGUGCAUGGUAGGCAGUUUGACUGGGGCGGUCUCCUCCCAAAGCGUAACGGAGGAGUUCGAAGGUACGCUAGUUACGGUCGGACAUCGUGACGAUAGUGCAAUGGCAUAAGCGUGCUUAACUGCGAGACUGACAAGUCGAGCAGAUGCGAAAGCAGGACAUAGUGAUCCGGUGGUUCUGUAUGGAAGGGCCAUCGCUCAACGGAUAAAAGGUACUCUGGGGAUAACAGGCUGAUACCGCCCAAGAGUUCAUAUCGACGGCGGUGUUUGGCACCUCGAUGUCGGCUCAUCUCAUCCUGGGGCUGUAGCCGGUCCCAAGGGUAUGGCUGUUCGCCAUUUAAAGAGGUACGUGAGCUGGGUUUAAAACGUCGUGAGACAGUUUGGUCCCUAUCUUCCGUGGGCGCUGCAGAUUUGAGGAAGCCUGCUCCUAGUACGAGAGGACCGGAGUGGACGCACCUCUGGUGUAUCGGUUGUCACGCCAGUGGCAUUGCCGAGUAGCUAAGUGUGGAAGAGAUAACCGCUGAAAGCAUCUAAGCGGGAAACUCGUUUCAAGAUGAGAUCUGCCGGGGCCUUGAGCCCCCUAAAGAGUCGUUCAAGACCAGGACGUUGAUAGGUCAGGUGUGGAAGC
RNAcentral lists this ribosomal RNA (1246 nucleotides) under metagenome. RNAcentral describes it as "bacterial LSU rRNA". It matches the Rfam family "Bacterial large subunit ribosomal RNA", at positions 1636 to 2874 of the family's 2925-position model. The record is from RNAcentral.